This is a non-coding RNA of Drosophila virilis, 1730 nucleotides long. NCBI's taxonomy places the organism in Eukaryota, Metazoa, Arthropoda, Insecta, Diptera, Drosophilidae. The record is from RefSeq and is a predicted model, not a curated record.
UUCUGCUCUUAUGUUGUUGUUGUUUUACAGUAUCCCAAUAAGCUAAACGCUGCUCCCGCUCUUUUGCACACAGUUUACAGUUGCUUUAAUCAGCUGAUCUUUUUACGCGUGCUUAUAAGAAUUAUAAAAAUCGUAAUUUGUGAAAAAUGUACUUAAACGGGUCCGGAUCGCGUAUAAAUGAAAUGAAAUUAGUGCGUAAUUAAUUGGUGUAUACGUAUAUCCGGUGUGCGUUUGAUCUUGUUUGUUAAUCGAUUGAAUAAAGACAUACUUAACUCUCUUCUAAUUAGAUAUUAAAUUUAUAACACUCUGUGCCUUAGUGAAAAUCGCGUAAACCUACACGAAUUGAAAAGAUUGUGCAAUGUUCGCAUUUCCCUUUAUAAGCUAGCUCGCAAGAAGGUUAUGAUAAAUUGUCCAUCCGAUUACCAGAUUCAUAUAUUCGUCGUAUAUCAGCCUUUGCUUUCUAUGCAAAAAUCAUUAUCCCAAUAAGCUAAACGCUGCUCCCGCUCUUUUGCACACAGUUUACAGUUGCUUUAAUCAGCUGAUCUUUUUACGCGUGCUUAUAAGAAUUAUAAAAAUCGUAAUUUGUGAAAAAUGUACUUAAACGGGUCCGGAUCGCGUAUAAGUGUAAUGAAAUUAGUGCAUAAUUAAUUGGUGUAUAUAUAUAUCCUGUGUGUGUUUGAUCUUUUUUGAUAAUCGAUUGAAAGAACGCGACAUACUCAUAUUCUAAUUGGAUAUUAAGUGUGUAAUAAUCUGUGCGUUAGUGAAAAUCGCGUAAACCUACGAAACAUAUACAUAAAUCUACUUUCUCCGCUUCAUUUACAAAUUGAAAAGAUUAUAUUGAGAUUAUGCAAUGUCCGCCCGUCCAUCUGUACCCAAUUAAUUCGAGAUAAGCAACUCAACAAGUAGCAACACAUUAUAAAUACAUAAAAAAACAACGAACCGCAGCAGGUUAGUGCUUGGUCAAAACAGCUCCCAGUCGAAGACGCCAUCGGCAACGAUAGGAUGCACAUUGACGACACGUUGCCAAGAAAAUUACUCGUAUUAAAUGAAGCAGCAGAGAAUUUCUUUAUAAACAUGACGCGCGUCGCUCGAUGGCACCAUAAACCGGACGAUAACCCGAGUGCGCCUGCGCCCCACGCUGACCCCCAGGGCCCCGGAGACCUGUAGCCCCCAAAAAAAUAUCAUAUGCAAAAUGGGCAAGGCGGACAAACUUAAUAGCUGUUAGGCUGCAGUCGGGCACUGGGCCCCCAGCCGGAGACAAGCAGACCACAGAAGAAAAAAAAAAAUAAACAAAAAGUGCAACACGCCGCCGGCGGCGUGCAUGGCCUGUGGUUGCACGGAUGUGUUGGAUGCACGCCCCCCACAUGCACAAGGGAGCGCAUACCACGUCUCCGUCAGAGAGUCGAAGCUGCAAUCUUCUUCUUCAGAGCGCUCGCUCGUGUGUCGUCAACCUGUAAAAUGUAUAACGACAACAUUAAGCUCGUGCCACCAGCUGAAGUUUAAUGGUUGGGGCACUUACCGCUGUGGCGACUUGUCGACUGUGCCAAUGUUGCAACAUCAUCUACACAACGGUACACAACUUCGCUGCGCGGCAGGUUCAUGCCAGUUCAGGCACGCCGGCAACGGUUGAUCUGAUUCAAAAAGGGAGGCACAACACUCGCAUGUGUGUGUGUCGCUUUUCAUACCCUUUUGGAGAGUAUUACAACAUUGACACGAAAUGUGUAACGCCA